Molecule: ribosomal RNA, 435 nt
Filed under: uncultured bacterium
Lineage: Bacteria
Description: partial 16S ribosomal RNA
Rfam family: Bacterial small subunit ribosomal RNA
Source: RNAcentral
AGCGAACGCUGGCGGCAGGCUUAACACAUGCAAGUCGAACGGGCACUUUCGGGUGUCAGCGGCGGACGGGUGAGUAACGCGUGGGAACGUGCCCUCUGGUUCGGAAUAACUCAGGGAAACUUGAGCUAAUACCGGAUACGCCCUUUUGGGGAAAGGCUUGCUGCCGGAGGAUCGGCCCGCGUCUGAUUAGCUAGUUGGUGGGGUGACGGCUCACCAAGGCGACGAUCAGUGGCUGGUCUGGGAGGAGGCUCGGCCACACUGGGACUGAGACGCGGCCCAGACUCCUACGGGAGGCAGCAGUGGGGAAUAUUGGACAGUGGGCGCGAGCCUGAUCCAGCCAUGCCGCGUGAGUGAUCAAGGCCUUAGGGUUGUAAAGCUCUUUUAUCCGGGACGAUAAUGACGGUACCGGAGGAAUAAGCCCCGGCUAACUUCGUG